This is a long non-coding RNA of Ochotona curzoniae (black-lipped pika), 680 nucleotides long. RefSeq lists it as uncharacterized. NCBI's taxonomy places the organism in Eukaryota, Metazoa, Chordata, Mammalia, Lagomorpha, Ochotonidae. The record is from RefSeq and is a predicted model, not a curated record. The transcript is spliced from 4 exons.
UCUGGGGAGGUGUCUCCAAAAUGUCCUCUUUAGUGCCACUUGGAUCAGUGGGCUUUGCUUCCUGCACUGUGUCCUGGAGUAGGGCUCCUCCGGAUGGCUGAACGCGGUCUGUUUGCUCUCUGUCUGUUGGUUCUCCAGUGAAACAGCAGAGCAUUGCACGUCCAGAGAAGUGGCCGCAGUGAGUCCUACCCUGGGGAGACAAACUUGACGAGGCAUCUGCUACUGACUGCCCCAGUUGAGACUGCACUGCAGUCCUGCCUGCGUUGGGGCCUCUAGGACCUAUUCCUGCAACCUCCAGCGCAUUUCCUUGGCUGCCAAGAGCUUGUAGCCUACACCAUUUGUUCUCUUUGUAGUGGAAGAGUGAGGUAGCUGGUCCCACAGCCAUAUCAGAAUCCUGCAGACCAAAGUCCCACCACGUGGACUAAGUGACAGUUGUAUGCCAGAUGCUGCAAAGAGCCGUGGUGGAAGUACAGAUGUCUAAAAAUGGCCAGGAAACAGAUUAGCAAUAAAAAUGUUUCACAUACUCUCCCCAGUGGUUUGCAUAAACUAUCUCAUUUCAUCUGGGUUAAAAGAUAGGUAAGCCAAAAUGACAUCUAAAUCCAAAUUUCACUUGAGUCAGGAGUAAGAAUGUCGUUUAUCACAGCUGCUUGCUUCUGAAAUUUGCUUCAUGAGCACUGCCA